GCUUUCGUGGCUCAGGUGGUAGAGCGACUGAUUCGUAAUCAGUAGAUCGAGGGUUCGAGUCCCUUCGGAAGCU
RNAcentral lists this transfer RNA (73 nucleotides) under [Clostridium] fimetarium. RNAcentral describes it as "Clostridium fimetarium tRNA". It matches the Rfam family "tRNA". From Rfam's summary of the family: Transfer RNA (tRNA) molecules are approximately 80 nucleotides in length. Lineage: Bacteria; Bacillati; Bacillota; Clostridia; Lachnospirales; Lachnospiraceae. The record is from Rfam by way of RNAcentral.